Molecule: ribosomal RNA, 675 nt
Filed under: Salmonella enterica subsp. enterica serovar Epalinges
Lineage: Bacteria; Pseudomonadati; Pseudomonadota; Gammaproteobacteria; Enterobacterales; Enterobacteriaceae
Description: partial 23S ribosomal RNA
Rfam family: Bacterial large subunit ribosomal RNA
Source: RNAcentral
CUGUAGCAAGGUUAACCGAAUAGGGGAGCCGGAGGGAAACCGAGUCUUAACUGGGCGUUAAGUUGCAGGGUAUAGACCCGAAACCCGGUGAUCUAGCCAUGGGCAGGUUGAAGGUUGGGUAACACUAACUGGAGGACCGAACCGACUAAUGUUGAAAAAUUAGCGGAUGACCUGUGGCUGGGGGUGAAAGGCCAAUCAAACCGGGAGAUAGCUGGUUCUCCCCGAAAGCUAUUUAGGUAGCGCCUCGUGAAUUCAUCUCCGGGGGUAGAGCACUGUUUCGGCUAGGGGGCCAUCCCGGCUUACCAACCCGAUGCAAACUGCGAAUACCGGAGAAUGUUAUCACGGGAGACACACGGCGGGUGCUAACGUCCGUCGUGAAGAGGGAAACAACCCAGACCGCCAGCUAAGGUCCCAAAGUCAUGGUUAAGUGGGAAACGAUGUGGGAAGGCCCAGACAGCCAGGAUGUUGGCUUAGAAGCAGCCAUCAUUUAAAGAAAGCGUAAUAGCUCACUGGUCGAGUCGGCCUGCGCGGAAGAUGUAACGGGGCUAAACCAUGCACCGAAGCUGCGGCAGCGAACGUAUCACCCAAGACAACUUUACGGAGUUGACGAUUGACGGAGCGAAGCGACGUCAAAGCGUUCAUUAAAGUCGAGUUGGCUUAGGGAUACGUUCGUUG